CGCUGUGCCAGCAGACAGUUCCAGCUCUCGACAACUGAUGCACAGACAGCUGCUGUUUCUCCCUUCCCCUGAUCCCCAAACUUUCCUUCUUUCAUUUCUUCCCUACACUGCCUCCAUUCAUUCCCUUUGUACUUUCCCCUUACUUCUCUCUAGGCUGUCCUUCUGUCCUGCACUUUUUCUCAGGCGGAUAUAAAAGCAGGUCCGGUUGGAGGGAAAGGGCUUGUGUAAUCUCUGGUUGCACAUGAGCACUGGAGAGUUAUUGCUUCAGCUGGGAAGACACAACAGACGUGUAAAGGACACACUUUGGAAUAAGAAAGAGGAAGAAGGAAUACCUCUAAGAAAGGAAGAAAGAGUUUGGAGUUGGGGUGCAGGACACAGACCAUGCUGGGCUCUGUGGUGCUCCUGCUGUCCCUGUUGGUCCUGUCCACAGGAAGUGAUGCCAGGAGGAUCAGGAAAAGGGGACUCAACCAUAAGGACUAUGAGUACCCCAAUCAUCCCCAGUCCACACAGCACCAAAAGAAUGACCGGUGUCCCCCGCCUCCCCAGAUGCUGCCAGAGAGAGCCUGUGAGGUCCCGGGCUGCCGCUCAGACUCAGAGUGUGAGCGACAUAAACGUUGCUGCUACAACGGAUGCAUCUAUGCCUGCUUGGAGUCUGUCCAGCCUCCACCAGUGUUGGACUGGUUGGUGCAGCCCAAGCCAAGGUGGUUAGGGGGCAAUGGCUGGCUGUUAGACGGGCCUGAAGAGGUUCUGCAGGCUGAGGCCUGCAGUACAACAGAGGAUGGAGACGAGCCUCUUCACUGUCCUACGGGUUACGAGUGUCACAUCAUCAAUCAAGGAAACCCUGCAGCAGGCAUCCCAAACCGUGGACAGUGCAUCAAGCAACGUGGCAAUUCAGAUGGACGUGGUCUCAGGCACAAAUACUUCAAGGACUACAAGGACUACUUAGGUAAGUGAGGUACCAGCUCGAGCAAUGCAGUGGGCUACGAAAAACAUCAUCACAAGCACCUGGGAUGAAAUCAACCUGACCUCAGACUCAGCUACGACCAUAACUCAACCUCAGACGUCAGCCCAGUUCUGUUCGAUCUUCUGCCACCAGACCUCAACCAGGAUCAGAUCUGAAUGCUUUCUAUGGCCUACAGCUGCUACCUCCUCUUUGCAAAGCCCUGUAUUUCAGCCUGACCUUCACCUUUAGGAGAGAAGUCUGUCAUAACUACAAUACACAGCCAAAGAAAUAAAUGUUUUUCUUCUUUCUCUCUGACUCGAGUGUGUGAAUGAAUGGAACAGAGGGUGUUGUGGUGAAGCGGAGCAGAGGAGAGGCUGUGCACCAAAGCUGUUCAGCAAAUGUCUGAAAAGGAACCAAUGCCAUUUAUUUCAUUUUUACACAACCCUCACUCUCCCAGCAACUCUCUCUCAUUCUUGAAAAUCACACCCUCCAACCUUGAGGCUGGUCAGCAGAGAAAAUCAAAACCAUGCGGGCGUAUUACACAUACAACUCCGGAAAAAGUUAAGAGACCACUCCAAGUUUUUCUUAAAUCUUUAUCUACAUGUAUGGCAGCCAUUCCAGUGUCUGUUGAAUUCCAAAACAGAAAUGUUGUCAGUAGUUUAUAGAAUACAAUACAAAAAAGAAAAAAUCAUUUAACCCAAAGACAUACCUUUAAAUAAUAAAACCAGAGAAAACUGAUAAUGCUGAAGUGGUCUCUUAAUUUCUUCUGUGGCUGUAUGUCUGUCUUGCUCUCAGAAGGGCGAUCUGGAAAGUUUUAUAGACAAAUAGAACAACUUCCAGCUGCAGUUCUCUAGUUAAACUAAAACCAAAUGUGUUUUAAUAUUCAGACUAAUUAAUCUAACUAACAGAAUGUAUCCAUUGAGUGUGUGGAUUUGGAACAGCUGUAGAUAGUAAUGGCCAACAGAUGCUGACUGUAACUUCAAAAUAAAUUUAAAAUGGUUUGUCUGUAAUUUGAUACUGAAAGAUAGAUUAGGGGUGGAUUAUGCCUUCAAAAUAAAACUGUAUGUAUUAUAUCUGUGAUUAUUUUGCUGAAAUUAAUUUACUGAAGUAAGAUUGUGGGAACAUUUUAUAAUUUUAAGUCAUUAUAUAACAUUAUUUAAAAAAUACUUGUAUUUCUACACUAUCUCAUCCCGUAUUGCAGUGCAGGAAAGGGCUUUCACACUGAGCAGAUGUUUGAAACUGGUCAACAAAAAUCUUCUAUGUUAUUCUUAAACUUAACUUGCUUUAUAAAACUGCAGUUGUCUUGUUAAAAUUGCAAAUGGUGCUCACUUAUAUUGCUGCCUAUAAUAAUACCAACAGGAUAAGCUGGUCACAUAAUAAACUGAGGGGUCAAACAAAAAGCUAUUAACCAUUCAUGUGCAGAGCUAAAGUGGAGUCUGAAUGUUUUCUGACUGGUGCUGUAAUGUUGCCUUGAUUAUUCUAAAUAAACCAUAUUGUUGAAAUCA
Eleginops maclovinus (Patagonian blennie) is the source of this 2448-nucleotide RNA transcript. It is a transcript of the gene named WAP four-disulfide core domain 1, with no coding region annotated. The transcript is spliced from 7 exons. The record is from RefSeq and is a predicted model, not a curated record. NCBI's taxonomy places the organism in Eukaryota, Metazoa, Chordata, Actinopteri, Perciformes, Eleginopidae.